ACGUAGGUGGCAAGCGUUGUCCGGAAUUAUUGGGAGAAAAGGGAGAGAAGGUGGUUAUAUAAGUCUGAUUUUAAAGUUCGGGGCUCAACCCCGUGAUGGAUUGGAAACUGUAUAACUUGAGUACAGUAGAGGUAAGCGGAAUUCCCAGUGUAGCGGUGAAAUGCGUAGAUAUUGGGAGGAACACCAGUGGCGAAGGCGGCUUACUGGGCUGUAACUGACACUGAGGCGCGAAAGCCAGGGGAGCAAACGG
This 250-nucleotide ribosomal RNA is filed under the name uncultured prokaryote. Its description in RNAcentral is "partial 16S rRNA". It matches the Rfam family "Bacterial small subunit ribosomal RNA", at positions 525 to 775 of the family's 1533-position model. The record is from RNAcentral.